UUAACGAGAGUUGAUGUGUGUUUGACGUGAGUUGACGUGUGAGAGCCGAGUAAAGCUCCUCCUCGGUUGACUGAACUCGAGACAAACAAAGAGGACAUGGCACUUGCUUUACUAAAUUAGAAUUUUCAGUUGAUACCAAAGCAUAUUUUUAUAAAGAUUUACAAUGGCUCAGUUGAAAAGCACAUGGAAGGAGAAGAUAAGUAUUGCUCUAGGAUUCAACUUGACUGACCUCUCCUUCGAGAGCAUUACACGUCUACUGCAUGAACCUAGGGACUCAGCAUCAUUAGCUAUCUGGAGAGUUGUAUUUGGUCUCCUCAUCAUUAUUGACAUUCCCCAAGAACGAGGGAUGGCCAGCAUCAGCAGGAGAUGGGGAGAUCCACAGCAAUGCCAUUUUCCGCUCUUCUAUUUUCUGUCACCACUCCCUGUUGACUGGAUGUAUGUUAUUUACCUGCUGAUGUUCCUUGGAGCCUUGGGUCUAACCAUUGGAUUUCUGUAUCGUCUCAGCUGCCUAACGUUUGUGCUAACCUACUGGUAUAUCUUUUUGCUGGACAAGUCAGUGUGGAAUAACCACUCAUAUUUGUAUGGACUUAUUGGAUUGCAGUUUUUAUUCAUAGAUGCAAAUUGUUGUUGGUCAGUGGAUGGACUUCUUAAACAUUCCAUAAGGAAUUCCCACGUUCCUUUAUGGAACUAUGCAUUGGUGCGAUUUCAGAUUUUUAUAGUUUAUUUUGUUGCUGGUUUGAAGAAACUUGACAAAGACUGGGUGUCAGGAUACUCAAUGGGAAACCUUGCUGAUAACUGGAUCUUUGAUCCAUUCAGAUUACUUUUGACCAAUGAGCAAAUAGACUUGUAUGUUGUCCACUUAGGAGGUUUACUGCUAGACUUGUUUAUUGGUUUUUUCUUAUACUUUGAUAAGACAAGACUAUUUGCAGCAUUUUUCUGUGCCUCAUUUCACACAAUGAACUCCCAGAUGUUCCAAAUAGGUAUGUUCCCAUACGUAAUGCUUGCAACAAUCCCGUUGUUCUGCUAUGCUGACUGGCCAAGGAGAGUGUUUAAACAUUUCCCAGAUGCCUUCAAAAUUGCACUCCCAUUGGAUACUCAGCUGCAGACAAAUAAACACUGCUUAUACCAACAGCCAAUCAACUCACUAGAUCUCUGCCAACAGCCAGUCAAUGAAAUCCGUCCACUUAAAGGGAAAUUAAAAGGCAAAUCAACACGAAGAUCACAAAGAGGUGCAUCUAAUGCGAAAAGAAAAGUAGCAACAGAAAAUGAAAUUUGUGUGAGACAUAAAGUUGUGAUUGUAUGUUUACUAGCGUACUCAGUUACACAGGUCUUACUACCUUACUCACAUUUUGUAACUAAGGGAUACAACAACUGGACAGAUGGGUUAUAUGGUUACUCAUGGGAUAUGAUGGUCCAUAGCUGGUCAAGUCAACACAUUAAAAUCACUUAUGUGGACAACACAACAGGACAAGUGGGCUACAUUACUCCGGGUGUACAUCUUUGGGAUGGUGCUAGUGAAAGAUGGAGUGCCCACGGUGACAUGUUAAAACAGUAUGCCAUGUGUUUGGUAAACCGCCUCAAAGACCACAAUAUUCGACAUCCUCAGCUUUACUUUGAUGUAUGGAGGUCACUGAAUGGACGAUUUCAGCAGAGAAUGUGGAAUCCAAAAGUUGAUAUCGUGGCAGCUGAUUGGUCACCUCUUAGCCAGUCAAGUUACUUGAUGCCUCUCCUUUCAGAACUGUCGCCAUGGCGAACAAAAUUUGAUGAGAUACAAGAUGCUUUGGAUAAUCAGACCACAGUUGUGUUUGUGGCAGACUUUCCAGGAUUGUAUCUUGAAAACUUUGUUGAUCCUAAUCUUGGCAACACAAGUAUCCAGGUUCUUAAAGGGACUGUAGCGGUUGAAAUUGCAGAUGGUGGCAAAAACGUGACAUUACAAGAAGGAGACAGCAUACAAGUACCUCCUGGUAGGUUCCAUAUAGUGCGCACGAUAUCGGACACUCCAUCCUGUUAUAUGUAUUUGACUGUCAACACAACAGAUGUCGCCAUCAGGAAGAAGUUUAAUAGCUACAAGGAAAUCAGAAACCAUAACAGAUCAAAUUUGUCAGGUGAUUCAAAAAAUUAGGACGGUCUUAAAUUGCACAAAGCAUGAUGAUCCACAAGCAUUCUCAGGUGUAGUGCUGUUAUGACAGGUUGUUUGUUAUGUGACCUCCAUGCUUUUUAAGAAUUUUCAUCUGAAGAGCUUAAAAUUUUCAAUGAUCUACUGGAAGAUGAGAAGUUUAUAGAAGAGUACAAGUCCAUGACCGUUCUUGAUCGAUUUCAGGACUUUUACGCCAGAAAGUGGUCAUUGUUUAGUUCCAG
RNAcentral lists this unclassified non-coding RNA (2358 nucleotides) under Anneissia japonica. Its description in RNAcentral is "vitamin K-dependent gamma-carboxylase-like, transcript variant X1". The record is from RNAcentral. Lineage: Eukaryota; Metazoa; Echinodermata; Crinoidea; Comatulida; Comatulidae.